RNAcentral lists this long non-coding RNA (529 nucleotides) under Canis lupus familiaris (dog). RNAcentral's name for it is "lncRNA (ENSCAFG00000051488.1)". The record is from RNAcentral. Lineage: Eukaryota; Metazoa; Chordata; Mammalia; Carnivora; Canidae.
UCGCUGCAGCCGUGCUAACCCGGGGCAUCUGUCAUUCCGGUUGCUGCUAUUAGGAAUUAUUGGACUGAACCACUGGUGGAGACAGCACAGGGGGAAAAUGAGUUCCGGGGUGAGCUGCUGAGUCAGAGGUGGACACAAGGAGACAAAGCCAGCAACUGCAGGACCUCGAGGCUCCUCCUGGGCCGACGCGGCAAGGUGAGGCGCUUGGAGGGCAGCCCCUUCCCUGCCACCUGCCCCCCGCCCUGGGUCUGGGCAGGGCUCCUUCUCACUUCCAAGCAUGGGGCACGGAGGUGACUUUUGUCUGGUCACCACGAGUCUAGGGUAGACAGAGGGUUACAUGGGGGCUAGGACCAUCAGUGAUCUGGUCACUGUGAACCUUAAGGAAGAAAAAUGACUCUGAAUAGAGUGAAACUAAAAUAUGACAGCAGGGUGUUGCCUGGGCCAGGUGGGGGCUCUGGGUCUGGUCACACGGGGCUGUCCCCGUAGCUGCUCCCCAGGCAGGCCGAAUGCUUGGUAGACUUUGCUGCGG